Molecule: ribosomal RNA, 497 nt
Filed under: uncultured bacterium
Lineage: Bacteria
Description: partial 16S ribosomal RNA
Rfam family: Bacterial small subunit ribosomal RNA
Source: RNAcentral
GAUGAACGCUGGCGGCGUGCCUAAUACAUGCAAGUCGAGCGAACGGACGAGAAGCUUGCUUCUCUGAUGUUAGCGGCGGACGGGUGAGUAACACGUGGAUAACCUACCUAUAAGACUGGGAUAACUUCGGGAAACCGGAGCUAAUACCGGAUAAUAUUUUGAACCGCAUGGUUCAAAAGUGAAAGACGGUCUUGCUGUCACUUAUAGAUGGAUCCGCGCUGCAUUAGCUAGUUGGUAAGGUAACGGCUUACCAAGGCAACGAUGCAUAGCCGACCUUAGAGGGUGAUCGGCCACACUGGAACUGAGACACGGUCCAGACUCCUAAGGGAGGCAGCAGUAGGGAAUCUUCCGCAAUGGGCGAAAGCCUGACGGAGCAACGCCGCGUGAGUGAUGAAGGUCUUCGGAUCGUAAAACUCUGUUAUUAGGGAAGAACAUAUGUGUAAGUAACUGUGCACAUCUUGACGGUACCUAAUCAGAAAGCCACGGCUAACUACGUG